GGGGUUGUGGCUCAGGGGUAGAGCACUUGCCUUGCAUGCAUGGGCUACUGGGUUCAGUCCCCAGCACCACA
This 71-nucleotide transfer RNA is filed under the name Marmota monax (woodchuck). Its description in RNAcentral is "tRNA.Ala". It matches the Rfam family "tRNA". Rfam says of the family: Transfer RNA (tRNA) molecules are approximately 80 nucleotides in length. Their secondary structure includes four short double-helical elements and three loops (D, anti-codon, and T loops). Further hydrogen bonds mediate the characteristic L-shaped molecular structure. tRNAs have two regions of fundamental functional importance: the anti-codon, which is responsible for specific mRNA codon recognition, and the 3' end, to which the tRNAs corresponding amino acid is attached (by aminoacyl-tRNA synthetases). tRNAs cope with the degeneracy of the genetic code in two manners: having more than one tRNA (with a specific anti-codon) for a particular amino acid; and 'wobble' base-pairing, i.e. permitting non-standard base-pairing at the 3rd anti-codon position. The record is from RNAcentral. Lineage: Eukaryota; Metazoa; Chordata; Mammalia; Rodentia; Sciuridae.